UUUCCGUAGGUGAACCUGCGGAAGGAUCAUUAUUGAAGUUUGCUUGAGGGGAUGUUUUGCUGGCUUUCCGGAGCACUUGUGCACGCCCUUCUCUCACUUUACUCCAUCCACCUGUGCACAUAUUGUAGGUUUCCGGAUACCUCUCAGCCUUUCCGGGCUGGUAUUGGAUGAUCGCUUUCGGGCUUUUAUCCGAUUUCCGGAAACUCUAUGUUCUUUACACAAACUAUAAUACAUUUAUAAGAAUGAUCAUUGGUCGCAGGACCUUUAAACUAUAAUACAACUUUCAACAACGGAUCUCUUGGCUCUC
Molecule: unclassified non-coding RNA, 307 nt
Filed under: plant metagenome
Description: partial contains small subunit ribosomal RNA, internal transcribed spacer 1, and 5.8S ribosomal RNA
Source: RNAcentral